Molecule: long non-coding RNA, 3719 nt
Organism: Pongo pygmaeus (Bornean orangutan)
Lineage: Eukaryota; Metazoa; Chordata; Mammalia; Primates; Hominidae
Exons: 3
Source: RefSeq, a predicted model, not a curated record
CUCGUCUGUGGACGGACGAGUAGCUGACUCUGGAGCCCAGGCUGUUGCUAUCCAGUCUGGUGGUGAAUCCUCCACAGUCUGUUUAGAGCAAUUGGAUGAAGUAUAUUUUUGUGAGCAAAUUUACCUUUCUCUCUGAAUUCUCCAAAAUUCAGAAACCAUUAAAUGCUUGUCUCACCUUCACGUGUUAUUACACUUCAUAAGGAAGAGAAGAAAAGUUAUAAGACAAUAAAAACAAAUAUUUUCAACUUCAGAAUUUUAUUUAUGACUAUAUCAUUUUACAAGAAUUUAUAACUACUUAUGUUUUUGUAGAAUUGUAAACAUGGAUUGCAAUAACUUGUAUAUGAUUAACACACUAAUUGAAAUAAGAAAAAUGUUACUAAAAUCUGCUUCUAAAUUUUUUAAGUAGUGAAAAUUCUAUGUAUAAUACUUGUAUAUAUGUAUUAAUAUUAUUUGGAGCAGAUAAUGUUGGUUUAUGCCUCAAAGCAUAUUUGAUGUUUUAUGUGAUUUAUUUGGUUAAAAUUAAUUAAUCAUUUAAUUAAAAAUUUAGAAGCUCUAUUUAAAAUAAUCUUGCUGUGCAAGUAAAUUACAAUGGUUUAUAUAUAGGUAAUAAAACAGAAUUAAGCAGCUAAAACCAUCUAAUACUACAGUUGGUUAAAGAGGUCAAAAAAGAUACGUAUACUUUUUUAAAAAUUCAUUUAUUUAUUUGAGAUAAGGUCUCACUCUGUCACCUAGGCUAGAGUGCAGGAGUGUGAACAUAGCUCACUGCAAUCUAGAACUUCUGGGCUCAACUGAUCCUCCCACCUCAGCCUUCUGAGUGGCUGGGACUAUAGGUACAUGUCACCAUGCCUGGUAAUUUUUUACUUUUUUUGUAUAGAUGGUGUCUUGCUUUGUUGCCAGGGCUGGUCUUGACCUCCUAGGCUUAAGUGAUCCUUCAGCCUUGGCCUCCCAAAGUGCUGGAAUUAGAGGUGUGAGCCACUAUGCCCACCCAGCUUGGUCAAUUUAAUAUCAAUUAAUGACAAACAAAACAAAGCACACAGCACAACUCAUUUUUCUAUUUGUCUGGUGCUCAUUCCUCUAUGUAAUAAAGGAUCAGUGGGUAUAGAUAAUGUGCUAAUAUGGAAAAUAAAAUAAUUUUUUAAAAUAAUUAAUGUCUUAGAAGCCAAGAAAAGACAAAAAAAAAAAAAGAAAAGAACCUUGAGAACAAAAGAAAAUGAAAAGCAAAAUGACAGAUUUAACAUCAAGAUUAUAGAAAAGUAAAUUCAUUAUAAAUGUACUACAAUCUCCAAAUAAAAGGGAGACAUUGAUAGAAUUAAUACAGAACCAAAGUCAAUCUAUAUGCUGACCUCAAGAAAGUAAUUUUACUUGUAAACAGGUCAAAAGUUAAAAGAUAGUUUCAUCGUAAUUUUUUUUUGAAGUUAAGAAGUAGAAAAGACCAUACCUUGACAUUGUUAUGUAUAAAAAUCUGAUGUAUCUAUAUUAAUGUUAAAAAAAGAGACUUCAAAACAAUUUAUGUUCUCUGAGAAAAAGAGGGAUUUUUUUUAAUGAUACAGAGACUAGCUCACCAAGAUGACAUAAUAAUCUCAAACGUAUAUGGGCUUAAUAACAGAACUUUGAAAUAUAUGAAGCAAAAAUCAAAAUAAUUGAAAGCAGAAAUAGAUAAAUUCACUCUAUAAGACUGAGAUUUCAACAGACAUCUGCUUUUCAUUUAUAUAACAUUUAUAGGGGAAACAAAUAUGAAUAUAGAAGACUUAAAUUACAUUGUCAACCAGUUUUUUCUAAAUUACAUUUAUAGAACAUUCUACUUCAAAACAGAAGAGCAUGCAUUCUUUCCAGAUGAAAAUGGAAUAUUCAUUAAGAUGUGUGUAUGAUUUAAUUAGUUUAAAAGGAAUAAAAUCAUCUGGCUUUGUUAUUCCCAUGGAAUAUAAUCAGCAAUAAGAAAAAUAGACAUCUAUAAAAUUCCUAACAUUGGAAACUUGAAACCACAUUUUUAGGUGUGACUUCCACUUUUGGGAAGAUGGAGUAGAAAUACUUUUUCCUAUUCCUCUCACUAAUCAUAGCUAAAACCUUGUACAUUAUACAUAAAAUAAAUGUAAAAAGACCUAUAUAGGUGUAAAGAAGACAGUAGACCAGUGAGGGACCUCAGGAACAAAAAACAACACAAUGAUAGUUUCUUGGGCUUGGUUUUUGUCUCAUAUAUACUAGACUUGGAGCUGAAAAAGCUGCCUGAAAGUGCCAAUGGACACAGACAAAAAACCUCCAGAAAAUGACACUUUUCUCUAGCCAAAGAACUAGGAGAAAAGCAGCUUAGCUAGAGAGAAAACUUUUAUGUAAUAACCACUCUACUCCAGGCACACACCAAAAAACAAAUCAAGAAAACAACAUCCACAAAAAUUUUGGUUGAGUCAGCAAAGACUGACCUGGAAAUCUUGAUUUUCACAGUCACAAGUUUGUUAAAAGAUAACUGUUGGUCCUGAUGGUAGAGAAAGUCAAAUAGGAAAUCAAUACAUCACCGUCAGCCUGUAACAAGUCCUCUGUCCAGCAAUGUCAGUGAAAACCACAAUGAAGAACAUGAGCUUUCACCUCACCCAUUGGUAAUGUAGUGCCCUUCAUCCUCGAUGCCUGGGUGGCAUCAGAGAAAGCCUACUGGAGAAUCAGGAAUUUCACCAUUACCCAGUUGAUAACAAGCCACUCUCACCAUAAUGUCGGUAGAUGUCAUGUGAGGCACCAACACAUCAGCACUCACCCAGUGGUAUCAAAAGACCACUCCCCUUGGGUUUUGAUGGAGGAUGAGUAAGUAACCUGGACUUGUAUUUACAACCAGCUGCUUUUCUUCCUCUGCUGGAGCAGUGUCACAGAAAGCCAGUUAAAACAGAAAGUUUAAAGAAAAUUUAGUGUCCCACAACAUAACAUAAAAAUGUCAAGUGUUCAAUAAUAAAUCACUUAUCAUACCAAGAAGUAGGAAGAUAUCAAACUUGAUUAAAAAGGUGAGCAAUAGAGGCCAACAAUGAGAUGACAGAGAUGUUCAUAUAAUCUAAAAAUAUUUUAAAGCAGUUACAAUAAUUAUACUUCAGUAAGCAAUUACAAACAAAUAUCCUUAAAAAACAAAAGAAUGAGUCAACAAAGAGUUGAAACAUCUUAGCAGAGAAAUAGAACAUAUCAAGAGGAGCCAAAUGGAAUUUUAGAAUUAAAACAUUCAAUUACCAAAAUAUAAAGUUCAGUGGAUGGGUUCAAUAUAGAAUAGAGGGGAGAAAAAAAUGAAUGAGAGACUGUAGGUAGAAAUUAUACAAUCUGCAAAAUUGAGAAAAUUAGACACAAAUUCUCCAGCAACCUGUGAAAAUAUAGCCAUGUAUCACUUAACAAUGAGGAUAUAUUCUGAGAAAUACAUCCUCGGGUGAUUUUGUCAUUGUGCAAACACCAUAGAGUAUAUUAUACACAUGAAAAAAUGCUCAUCAUCACUGGCUGUCAGAGAAUUGCAAAUCAAAACCACAAUGAGGUACCAUCUCACACCAGUUAGAAUGGCAAUCAUUAAAAAGACAGGAAACAACAGGUGCUGGAGAGGAUGUGGAGAAAUAGGAACACUUUUACACUGUUGGUGGGACUGUAAACUAGUUCAACCAUUGUGGAAGUCAGUGUGGCGAUUCCUCAGGGAUCUAGAACUAGAAAUACCACUUGACCCAGCCAUCCCAUUACUGGGUAUAUACCCAAAGGACUAUAAAUCA